This 502-nucleotide ribosomal RNA is filed under the name uncultured bacterium. RNAcentral's name for it is "partial 16S ribosomal RNA". It matches the Rfam family "Bacterial small subunit ribosomal RNA", at positions 30 to 523 of the family's 1533-position model. The record is from RNAcentral.
AUUGAACGCUGGCGGCAUGCCUUACACAUGCAAGUCGAACGGCAGCAUAGGAGCUUGCUCCUGAUGGCGAGUGGCGAACGGGUGAGUAAUAUAUCGGAACGUGCCCUAGAGUGGGGGAUAACUAGUCGAAAGACUAGCUAAUACCGCAUACGAUCUACGGAUGAAAGUGGGGGAUCGCAAGACCUCAUGCUCCUGGAGCGGCCGAUAUCUGAUUAGCUAGUUGGUGGGGUAAAAGCCCACCAAGGCGACGAUCAGUAGCUGGUCUGAGAGGACGGCCAGCCACACUGGGACUGAGACACGGCCAAGACUCCUACGGGAGGCAGCAGUGGGGAAUUUUGGACAAUGGGGGCAACCCUGAUCCAGCAAUGCCGCGUGAGUGAAGAAGGCCUUCGGGUUGUAAAGCUCUUUUGUCAGGGAAGAAACGGUAGUAGCUAAUAUCUAUUACUAAUGACGGUACCUGAAGAAUAAGCACCGGCUAACUACGUGCCAGCAGCCGCCGUAA